UUUGACUGGGCCCAGGUUCUUUCCCCUGCACCAACAAAUGGCACCAAAAUAGUUCUGCUGAGUCUCAGGCUGGAUCUACACUGCCAUAUAAACAAGUUUCACAAGGCAGUUUAACUGAAUUAUAUGGCAAUGUAGACUCAUAUUUCAUGAGCCACCCCAAUUCUGUGGAACGACCUGCCGGUAGAGCUCUGACACAAGUGAAAAGCUGUCUCUUCCGGCAGCCCUACCCAGACAGUCUUUAAACAUAAAUAUGGCUUUUAAUGCAUGUCCUUUGUGUCAUCUCUGUUUUAUCUAUUUUAAUAUGUAUUUCAUAGAGAUAUGUUUUGGUAUGUAAUUUUUAUGGAGGUACAUUUUAGUGUGUGUAUUUGUGGCAUUUUUGCUGUGUUUAAGUAUUUCAAUUGUUUUGUAGCCACCUCAAGCCAUGAGGAGAGGUGGAUAAGAAAUAAAAUUAUCAUCAUCAUCAUCAUCAACAUCAUCAUCAUCAUCAUAUAAUCCAGUUCAAUGCAGUUAAACUGCAUUCUGAAACUGCAUUAUAUGUCAGUGUAGAUUCAGCUUCAAUGUCCAGAUAGCAGGAAGACAAACCAUUCUGUUGUGAUCACUGGUAAGAUAAAUAUGCUAACCUCAACCACAUGAUUUGUUUUGUACAGGAAACUGAAUUAGCACAUUGGUGGGAAUCAGUCAAUUUUUUUACUUCCACAAAGCUAUGAGUUCACAAGAAGUUAUGGUGUGUGCAAAGAUACAGGAUAGACGAUUUUGUUUUGAAACCUCUAUAGAUCUGAGAAAUGCAACUGAAGAGCUAACCAAAGAAGAGAGAAAAAUUGCAGAAGAUGCCAAGCUGGGGGCCUUGAUGAUCCUGCAGGAUGCCCUGAAGAAGAAAAAACAAGAUGUUGAUGCAGGUGCCUAAAAAACUAGUACUUGAUGAAGAAGAGGGAUGUCGGUUUUGGAUGAAACGUCAUGCAGUAGUGACAGAAGAUCUGGUGAAUAAGCUUAUUGCAGCACUUAGCACAGUGAAAUUUAAGAAAGGCAAAGGAAACUUGGACAGCUCUGUAGACCACAUAAACACCAGUGAACGAAUGAAAAAGGCAGCAAUUAAGAAGGAUAGCAGUGGCAAGGAAGAGUAUUAUGCUUAUGUACAUCCAAAUGAUCUGACAAGAACCAUUUACUUGUGUGAGAUGUUCUGGAAAGCUCAUGAGUACCUUGAAAAAGAUUCCCAGCCAGGCACCCUCAUCCAUGAAGUGUCUCACUUUUUGGGUACAUAUGAUCUCACUUAUGAAGAGAGUACCCUUUUUGCUGGCUGCAAAGGUCACAGAAUAAGAGCCAGCCCAGAAAACAGUUCAUCCUCACAAACAGAAGAAAACAUACGGAAAAUUUUGGAACGCAUUGGACUUUCCUGCAUAAAUAAAUUGAGAUGGCAAGGCAAACCUGAUAAUGUGGAGACAUAUUGCUACAAUGCCCUCGGGGAGCCUGUCUGGAAUGCCAACAACAUUGAAUAUGAGUUUGAGCUGACCUUAAAACAUAAAGGAAUUUAUCGGAAUGGCAAAUACUUCUGCUGUGGAGAAAGAGAACAGUACUCUGUGUGCGUUUGUUCAGUGCCUGAUAAUUUCCACACUUGUGAUUCUGAGGAAAAAAUUGAUAAGGUUGACCGAAAAACAUUCUUUGAAUCAGUUACCAUAGAGACCACCUACUUUACACCGAACUCCAGAACUCAGCCUAGGCAAGCAAGAAUGAGAGCAUUACUCCUGGAACCACGUCAGACGCAGCUAAUUCCACCCCCUAUCAAGAUGCCUUCCCAAUCCAGACACCAUGGGAAGCGACUUUAUUUCACCUCCUCAUCGGUCACUCUAAAAACUGAAUUUGCUUUUAGCCUUCAUCAUCCUUGA
Anolis carolinensis (green anole) is the source of this 1880-nucleotide long non-coding RNA. Lineage: Eukaryota; Metazoa; Chordata; Lepidosauria; Squamata; Anolidae. The record is from Ensembl.